UAAACUAUGAGUUUCUUAGAGUUGACUUUACUUUUUUUUCGAAACUGCAUCCAUAGUUUAGUUGAGUGCUUAAUAUACACUUAUUUGGUAGGUGCUGUAUAGUUUAAAUAGUUGACAUAUGAAGGUUUUGAAAGCUGUGCUCGGUGUUCUUCUAGUGAAAUAUGAGAUAAAAAUAGCUGUAAUUGAUGUGAAUGAACCUAAAUAUCGUAGUGAACUUACUGUUGAGUGAGAAUCAAUAAUUAUGAAAUCUAGAUGUAUAUUGAUGAAAUAAGAUACGGUGACUGUACAUUGCAAAGCUGAUUAGAGCAUUACGCCGAGAUUGAUGAAAUGAACAAUUGAGUCAUAGAUGUAAUAUGAUGAGUUCACAUAUUUGGAUUUACAUGCUGCAGAUUGUCCUUGUCACCAUCUGAGCAUUGCAUCAGAAGCACGUUGGAUGUCAUGUUCUUCUCGACUGAUUCCAUCGGAACAUUGCAUGAGAAGCAAGCUUGAUAUCAGAAGGCAGUGAAGGCACAAAGACGGAAUAUGGUGGAGAUUGAUACUAGGAAAAGGAGACAUGGUGGCAUAAUGUGAACGAAGAAACUCAAUCUCCAUUAAUGGAGACACUGAAGCUGCAUCGACAUCGUCUGGGCACUUAAGACUAGCAUCCAUGGCAGUAAGCAAGCAAGAAGAUGCCUGUAUUAUGCUCGUUCAUAUGUAUGAUUAAACUAAGGAUAGCAUUUGUUGAUGAGACAGCAUGUCAUUAUUGGUAUCUUUUGCUUUUUCUUUUUGUUUCGAGAAGUUGUAAAUCACAAGGCCGAUUGAAGUAGGUCAUGAAAUAGGAGCAACAGAGAAGCUUUUACUCU
Molecule: non-coding RNA, 842 nt
Organism: Musa acuminata subsp. malaccensis (wild Malaysian banana)
Lineage: Eukaryota; Viridiplantae; Streptophyta; Magnoliopsida; Zingiberales; Musaceae
Source: RefSeq, a predicted model, not a curated record